GAUCCUUCGGGGUCUAGUGGCGCACGGGUGCGUAACGCGUGGGAAUCUGCCCUUAGGUACGGAAUAACUCAGAGAAAUUUGAGCUAAUACCGUAUGAUGACGUAAGUCCAAAGAUUUAUCGCCUGAGGAUGAGCCCGCGUAGGAUUAGCUAGUUGGUGGGGUAAAGGCCUACCAAGGCGACGAUCCUUAGCUGGUCUGAGAGGAUGAUCAGCCACACUGGGACUGAGACACGGCCCAGACUCCUACGGGAGGCAGCAGUGGGGAAUAUUGGACAAUGGGCGAAAGCCUGAUCCAGCAAUGCCGCGUGAGUGAUGAAGGCCUUAGGG
This 326-nucleotide ribosomal RNA is filed under the name uncultured bacterium. Its description in RNAcentral is "bacterial SSU rRNA". It matches the Rfam family "Bacterial small subunit ribosomal RNA", at positions 72 to 422 of the family's 1533-position model. The record is from RNAcentral.